UUAGGGGAAUCCAACAUUAGAGGAAUUUCACUGUUAAUGCUAAUACUGAGCUCAAACUCCCCCUAAA
This 67-nucleotide transfer RNA is filed under the name Petrobiellus sp. 1 JZ-2014. RNAcentral describes it as "tRNA-Asn". Lineage: Eukaryota; Metazoa; Arthropoda; Insecta; Archaeognatha; Machilidae. The record is from RNAcentral.